GCGCCUCUAGCUCAACGGCAGAGCAAUGGACUCUUAAUCCACAGGUUGGGGGUUCGAAUCCCCCCGGGGCGCA
RNAcentral lists this transfer RNA (73 nucleotides) under Aquihabitans sp. G128. RNAcentral's name for it is "tRNA-Lys". It matches the Rfam family "tRNA". Rfam says of the family: Transfer RNA (tRNA) molecules are approximately 80 nucleotides in length. Their secondary structure includes four short double-helical elements and three loops (D, anti-codon, and T loops). Further hydrogen bonds mediate the characteristic L-shaped molecular structure. tRNAs have two regions of fundamental functional importance: the anti-codon, which is responsible for specific mRNA codon recognition, and the 3' end, to which the tRNAs corresponding amino acid is attached (by aminoacyl-tRNA synthetases). tRNAs cope with the degeneracy of the genetic code in two manners: having more than one tRNA (with a specific anti-codon) for a particular amino acid; and 'wobble' base-pairing, i.e. permitting non-standard base-pairing at the 3rd anti-codon position. Lineage: Bacteria; Bacillati; Actinomycetota; Acidimicrobiia; Acidimicrobiales; Iamiaceae. The record is from RNAcentral.